This 486-nucleotide ribosomal RNA is filed under the name uncultured bacterium. Its description in RNAcentral is "partial 16S ribosomal RNA". It matches the Rfam family "Bacterial small subunit ribosomal RNA", at positions 29 to 507 of the family's 1533-position model. The record is from RNAcentral.
AGUGAACGCUGGCGGCAUGCCUAACACGUGCAAGUCGAACGGCAGCACGGGAAGUUGCACCUGGUGGCGAUGGCGGGUGGCGGGCGGGUUACAUAUGCAUAUGUACCUUCUUGGGCGAGGGGGCGGCCGUAGGCAGAUUAAUGCUGCAACCGAAUACCAGCUGCAGGCGGGAGCACUUGGGGCCUCGAGCUUUAGCGUUGGUCGAUGGCGGAUUCGCUAGUUGGUGGGGUAAAGGCCUACCAAGGCGACGAUCAGUAGCUGGUCUGAGAGGAAGACCAGCCACACUGGAACUGAGACACGGUCCAGACUCCUACGGGAGGCAGCAGUGGGGAAUUUUGGACAAAGGGCGAAAGCCUGAUCCAGCAAUGCCGCGUGUGUGAAGAAGGCCUUCGGGUUGUAAAGCACUUUUGUUCGGAAAGAAAACCUGGGGCCUAAUACGGUCAUGUGAUGACGGUACCGAAAGAAUAAGCACCGGCUAACUACGUG